This 328-nucleotide unclassified non-coding RNA is filed under the name soil metagenome. Its description in RNAcentral is "partial contains 5.8S ribosomal RNA, internal transcribed spacer 2, and large subunit ribosomal RNA". The stretch from base 1 to 120 matches the Rfam family "5.8S ribosomal RNA", at positions 35 to 154 of the family's 154-position model. The record is from RNAcentral.
GAUGAAGAACGUAGCGAAAUGCGAUAAGUAAUGUGAAUUGCAGAAUUCAGUGAAUCAUCGAAUCUUUGAACGCACAUUGCGCCCCUUGGUAUUCCGAGGGACAUGCCCGUUCGAGCGUCAUUAUACCCCUCAAGCCUAGCUUGGUGUUGGGGCCUGCUGUUACCGGCAGCCCUUAAAAUCAGUGGCGGUGCCAUCUGGCUCUAAGCGUAGUAAUACUUCUCGCUACAGGGUCCCGGUGGAUGCUUGCCAUCAACCCCUAAUUUUCUAUGGUUGACCUCGGAUCGGGUAGGGAUACCCGCUGAACUUAAGCAUAUCAAUAAGCGGAGGA